Long non-coding RNA from Acinonyx jubatus (cheetah), 4331 nucleotides. RefSeq lists it as uncharacterized. Lineage: Eukaryota; Metazoa; Chordata; Mammalia; Carnivora; Felidae. The transcript has 4 exons. The record is from RefSeq and is a predicted model, not a curated record.
UUAAAAUUUUCUUUUUAAAUCUAGGUGCUGUGCAUGUGGCUGUGCAUUAGACUUUUUCUAAAGGCUGUAAGUUUUCACCACGGAGGGAAGAGAAACACUACGUGUGAGAGAUUAAAGAGUACUUCUUGUACAUUCCUAUAUGUUUGCUUUAAACACCUUCUCAUUAGGAUUCGAUACAUAUAAAAUAAUGUCGGUAGCACAUAGAAAGAGGCAUUGUGAGAUCAUGGACGACCUCAAAGCCGCUGCUGACCCCGCCAGUUCUCUCAGCCCCUCGGAGGUGGUCAGUGCCUCAAUUUUGUGUUUAUCGUUCCUUUGCUUUAACUCUUAAUUCAGGUGUCACUGAUCCGCAGUUAGUGCGCUCAUCUUUUUACUUUUUUAUUUUUUUUAAUGUUUAUUUACUUUUGAAAGAGAGAGAGACACACACAGCGUGAGUGCAGGAGGGGCAAAGAGAGGGGGAGACACAGAAUCCGAAGCGGGCUCCAGGCUCCGAGCUGUCAGCACAGAGCCCGACGCAGGACUGGAACUCACAGACCAUGAGAUCAUGACCUGGGCUGAAGUCGGAUGCUUUAACCAACGGAGCCCCCUAGGCGCCCCAGUGCAAUGAUCCUAAGGAUAAUUUCACAGACGUGUUCAGUGUAACCAGUGCUCUCUGCAAGACGCAGGGUUUUCCCGGACCCCAGAAGCUCUUGGGUGCCCUCAUCCCUCCCUGCCAGAGAACUAUCAUGGCCUCUUUCUGUGUAGGUGAGGGUUACCUGCUCUUGGGCUUUGGAAAAGUGGGUCGUACGGAGCCCACUGUGCCUGGCGCCUUCCAGAGAGCAUCACGUCUGUCAGAUGCACCCACGAAGUCGUGUCACUCGCUGGCUGCCGCAAAGCAACGCUCGCCUCUGUGAGUCAUGGUUUUCCCUGUUUUGACCGUCUUGUAACGAGAGCACAUGUGGCCUUCCGCGCGCUCUCCUCAUGGCACGUGGUGUGGACGAGCCCCGUGUCUGCCGCCUCCCAUGGCGGCUCGUCAGCCGGGCACCUCCUGUCUCCUCUUCUGUGACGCGUCUACUGUGUCCCGGCCCGCCAGGCCACGAUGGAGGAGAUCGCCUGGAACACGCCUGGAAUGGAGUGGGUGCUAGGCAAACAGCUGCGCGGUGAAUGGACGUGCGGAGGUGUGUCUGCCGGACGCACGCGGCCAACACUUCUUGAGGCCUCAGGACCUUUGCUCGGCACCAGGCGGGUAGGAGAGGAAAGCUGAAGGGGCCCUGGGCUGCCAGACGUCUCCAACUCGGGGAGGGGAGGGCAAGGAUGGAAGUCCGGUCCUUCUCAUGUCUGUCCUCCCCUCUCCUUGUCCUUCUGUCCUGCCCAGAGUGGAAGCCCACAGGCCACUCACAAUGGCCCCUUGACGUGCAUUUGGAAGAGGAGGCUGGACAUCGAAGCCCCUGUUUGGGGUGUGUUGGAGGUGACUGGCCCCUGUGCUGUGCGGGAGGUCCUCCUUGCCGGGCUGCUCACCGUGUCCGUGGGUCCGUGUGCUCGGGUUGUUCUGACCGUGGCACCUGGGGAGGACGGUCCUGGGUCGUCCCUCAGCCCGGUUUCACCCUGCGGACCGAGUGCAGGGCUGCGCGAGACAACACCGGAGUCUGGCCCAGAGAACUGCUUAGCGGAUGCCCUGCUUUCCAAACCCCGAGCGCGUGCUCCACCCUGCCCCCGCCGAAAGCCCCUUUGCAUCUCCUCUCUGGUUCCCCCGCUGGCAAGUGCUAACUUUGGCACGUGGUCCAGAUCAACCUGCGGGAGACGUGGCUUUCACGGGGGUGGCGGCCGAGCCCCCGUCCAGCCCCGGCCCAGCCCCGCUGCCGAGUCCACACCCGGACAGCCCUGGACUGACCCGGGACAGGGCCCAUCUCCUCCUCCCUGCUCCUCCCUGGACCAAGGCAGGCCUGCAGGCCCGGGGUCUCAGACCCACUGCCUCAGGAGCUCGGCAGGGGCCUGUGUAGGACCAGGAGGAGCACGGGGACUGCAGAAGCCACUUUAGGCACAUUUGCGCUUUUGAGCACCUGGUGCCGAUGCGUCCAGGACGGGGGUGGGGGUGCGACUCCUCUGCUCCAGCCUGGGGGCCACACCGGGGACCCCACCCCCCCACCCCAGGCACAGCCACCGGGGCAGCAGGUGGGGAGGGGACGGGGAGGGGGCUCACGGAGUGGGUGAGGAAACACCCCCGCGCACGAACCCCCAGGGGAGGGAAACUGGGGUCUCAGCGAGAAUGUGUGCAGAAUGUUCACGUCCACGGCCGCUCGCUCUCCGUGGCCAAAAGGAGGGACCCCCCUCCCCCCAACAUCGCUGUCCGUCCACGGAUGAACAGAGAAACAAAACGUGGCACAGCCCCACGAGGAACAAGGAACGGACUCUGACUCUCUCUGCAGCACCUGGAAAGACACAUCACGUGGCAGCAGCAGACACGAAACACCUGCUGUCGUGUGUCUCUGAGCCCAGACACCUGGAGGGAGCAAGUGCACGGGGGACCUGCGGGAACGGGAACGGGUGGCUCAGGACCGGGUCAGGGCACCCAGCGUCCCCGCACGACACCAGCCCGGGACGUGCAGAUGUGCACAGAGGUGCCGGUGCCCGAGAAGCAAGCCUCACGAUAAAUCCGUGCACUGCGUGGACCAUCGCAGGGACCUGCCAGUGUCCUUGCCCGUGCCCCCCCCCCCCCCCCCGUUCUGUGGCUGCUCGGUCUCUGAGGCAGGGAGAGCAGUCAUAUUGCCUCCUUAUCAUCCCUUCACUUCUCAGUGCAUCGAGGCCCCAAGGAAAGCCUGUCAGCAGGGCACCUUCUGGGGGGCCGUUCGCUCCUCGAGCUCUGCCCUCUCCCUGCUCCCUCUUGUGCUGCUCCCAAAAGCCGCUGUGUUACCCUCCCCUUGUCGGCUGGCCCCUCCUGCUGCACCCCCUGACCACAGGGUGCUGGCCUCUCCCGGCCGCAAUCCACCCACAGAGGCUUAAAACCAUGACGCCAGGGCCCCCCAGCGUCCCUGACGCCUGCUUCCCCUCCCUGGACAACAGAUCGAACGAUCAAUUCAUUAAAUCGAAGCCAUGGCCUGGCCGGGCGGGAGGAGGGACCCCUGCAUGUGGCUGAGUCGGCAUCUGUCACUUGUACAUUCACUCGACAAACAUCGGUCUUUUGCCAGACAAAGAGUUGGAACGGACAUUUCUCGGAGGAAGACAUUUGAACGGCCGACAGACAAAUGAACAGAUGCUCAACCUCACUAAUUAGGGAAACACGAAUCCAAACCCCAUGAGACACCAUCCGAUGCCCAUCAGGAUGGCCACUAUCAAAAGACCCGAAAACACCCAGUGCUGGCGAGGAUGUGGAGAAGGGGAGGCCUGUUCCGCCGCUGCUGGGAAGGCGAGCCGGUGGGAGACAGCGUGGAGGGUCCUCAGAGUCGAACACAGAGGGCCCACUCGCCCCCUUCUGGGUCGGUACACGGAGCCGAAGGCAGGGUCUCAAAGGUACUCGCGCACCCGUGUUCACAGCAGUGCUGUUCACGGCAGCCAAGACGUGGGAGCCACCCAAGUGACCACGGUGCACGAUGGCUAAGCGAGACGUGGUCCAUCCAGACGAUGGAAUGGCAUUCGGCCUUGGAAAGGAAGGACGUGCGGCCCCCUGCCACGGCACACACGUGGACCUUGAGGGCACGACGCUACGGGAAACGAGCCGUCCCAAGGGACAAGCCUUGUAGGACCGCACGCGUCUGAGGCACCCGGCCAGAUCCACGGAAAGUAGACGGUGGGCGCCAGGGGCUGGGGGGCUGGGGGGCAGCUUCCGUUCGGAAAGAUGGACAAGUCCUGACGGCGGACGGUGGUGGUGGCUCCGCGCGGCGUGAAGGUGCCUAACGCCUCCGAUCUGUGCGCUUAGAAGUGCUCACGACGGUAGCUUCUCAUGUUGUGUUUUUGCCAUGAUUAAAAGUAAACAUAAUUUUUUAAGAAUCCUUUCCCAGAGACCGGGAACGGCAGACGUGCCCGAGAAGGGGCAGGGUGAAGCAAAAGUGAGCCCGCACAACGGGCCCCAGACGGCCGAGACAGGGCGCAGGCGUGCCCACAAAGCAAGGGGCAGGAGAGGUCAACCUCUCCCCGCGACGCGAGGAGCCGGUGACCUUAGAGGGGAGAAAAUCUCGCAGAUGCGCGGCCUGGGGGGGGCAGGGCACAGCGCCAGACAGAUGACGCCUCGGGCAGGGCAGCUCGGAGCGCGUCCCUCUGGGACGGUCCUGCUGAACGUGCAAAACCAGAACCUGCUGGGGAGAAGCUGCCAGGUGACGUGCCCGAGGGGCGCCGGCCCGGACGCUCCAGACGCGCCCGGG